RNAcentral lists this ribosomal RNA (456 nucleotides) under Triticum aestivum (bread wheat). Its description in RNAcentral is "partial small subunit ribosomal RNA". The record is from RNAcentral. Lineage: Eukaryota; Viridiplantae; Streptophyta; Magnoliopsida; Poales; Poaceae.
AUGGCUAAUCCGCCUAGCGGUUCUGAAAGACUACAUUCUGAAAUCCAGAGGCAAAAUGCUGAGCUAACCCUCGAGGUUCAUGACUUAAGGAGGCAAAUUGUUGAACAACAGGCAGAGAGGCAAAGAGAACGAGAAGAAGAGCGAGUUGCCAGGGAAAAACAGCUUGAGGAGGAACACAUAGCAAGGCAGAGAGAACUUGAGGAGGCUAAGCAAGCAAUGAUGCAUGAUAUUAUGAAUGAGGUUAGGCAAUCAAUGAGGUCGGAUGUUGAGCAGAUAUUGGGAACUCAACAGGAAGACGCACAUCAGUUUUCCCAAGCAAGGGAUGCUCCAAGAAACGGAACUAGAAAUUGGUCAAGUUCUCUGUUUAAAAAUUCAAGCAUGAUUACUCAACACCAGCUUAUGCAAGCAGCUAAACACCAUUGUCAUCCUCCAAGUGACAAGGAUGGUUUUCUCUAA